GGCCGGCGUGGGGCCCUGCCCCGGGACGCACGGCCGGCGUGGGCCCCAGGCCCGCCCUCCUCCCCGGGCCGGCCCGAGCCACGCGGCUGCGGCGGCCCCCCGGGGAGCGCCGGGCCUAGCGCCCCUCUCCCGCCCGCCGGCGGGCCGGGCUCCCUCCCACCGGCCGCGGCCUGCCCGCCCCAGCGCUGCCCGCCCGGCCUGGAGCGGGGGGCCCGGCCGGCCCUCAGCCAGGCACCGCCGGGGCCCCGCGGCGCCUCCCGCGCCUUCUUCGCCGGGCCGGGGCAAGCGCGGCGGCGCCAGCCGCAGGGACGGCCCGGCCGCAGGCGUGGCCCGGCGGCCUGGGGUGCGGGGGAGCCCCCCGGCGACUCGGGGCCCUCGCCCGGCCUGACAGCCGGCCCGAGCUGGGGGCGGGGGGAGCGGGGUGCGGAGGGGGGCUGUGGGGGGUGCCGAGGGGUCUAGAGCAGCGUGCAGAGCAGAGCAUCCGCCUUCGGGAGGGCGGCCGGCCCCCCCCACCCCGCCGAGACCCCCGCCCGCCCCCCGGCUGUGCGCAGCGCGGCGGGCCCUGGGCCGCGGGUCCCAGCAGCGCCCCCGACCCGCAGCGUGCCCUUGAGCGAGUCCGGCUCACGUGGCGCUUCACCCUGCCUCUCUUUAAGAAACAUUUGUCGUUUAAGUCUUUAAUGAGCUGUGGGUUCACGAUGUCCUAAAGCAGAAGACACUGUGUCCUCCGGGCUUUGCUGAGCCACGACGGGCCUGCCCUGCCCAGGCAGCACCUGGUCCCUUCCCAACUCCCGCAGGCUGUUGGAGUCUGCUUGGCACCGAGGAGGAAAACUGGGGACCAUCAAAUGAAACUUGUGAGAGGUUUGUUCAAAACUAAUGCAAGAACAUAACUCUUAACACAACGUGCAGUUAAACUGUGGGACUCCUGGCCAGAGGAUAUUAGAGGAUAAAAGCUUUUUAUGUGCCCAGAAAGCAUUUUAAAAAGAUUGAUGAAAUGAAUGUGUUGAAGGCUAUUAAAUGCAGUGCAGCAUUUCUGGCUGAGGAAGUCCCUGAGCUGAAAAUUGUGGAAGCUGGGACAGUAUUUUGGAGAUGAGUAUUUCUCCUACUCUUUGGCAGGUGGUCUUUAUUUGCCUGUGUCCUAGGCAGAAUCCUGGUUUAACUGCUGAAUUGUCUGACCUGUCAUUGUUAUUUUUAAAUUAAUAUCUUCAAGCCAUUUCAAUUUUUGGAUAGCCUAAGGGCAGGCUAAAAUGGGAAUUACCAGUAAACCUUGUGUCAUGUUUUAAACACAACUGGCAACUAAGUACCAUGCAGCUGCUUACUCAGCCCCCCUACCCCAGUGGGAUGGGGAGGAAAACCAAAAAGAAAGUGAAACCCGUGGGUUGAAAUAAGAAAGGUUUAGUAAUUGAAAUAAUGAUGAUUAUGAUAAUAAUAAUAUAAUUGUAAUGAAAAAGGAGACAACAAAAAGAGGGAAAGAAAUAAACCCCAAGGAAGAUAAGGGAUGCACAAUACGGUUGCUCCUCACCGACUGACCGAUGGCAGUCCCCGAGCAGCAAUUCCCCCCCCAGCCAAUAUACAGAGCGUGAUGUUCUAUGGUAUGGAAUAGGGAAUAGCCCUUUGGCUCGUUGGGGUCAGCUGUCCUGGUUAUGCUCCCUCACAGCUUCUUGUGCACCUCCUGAGAGGCAGGGCAUGGGAGCUGAAAAGUCCUUGAUUUAGGCUGGGUAAGCACUACUUAGCAACAACUAAAACAUCAGUGCGUUAUCAACAUUAUUCUCAUACCUAACCCAAACCACAGCACUGCACCAGCUCCUAGGAAGAAGAUUAACUCUCUUCCAGCUGAAACGAGGACACCGUGUUGCCUCAGUGUAUGUUCUCAUACCCUUUUUAGAUCAUUGAAAAAAUGCUAAUGGCAUUUUUUGUGUUUCUCUCAACUAAUCCACUUUUUCUGCCACUUCAAACUUUCCAGUUUUCCUUUUAAAAUGUGAAAGCGCGAUUUAGAGGCAAGUACUGUUUUCUGAGGUGAAAUUACCUGCCUUCUUCAAUUAGCUCUUUUUGCUGCUGCUUUUCUCUGGGAGCACAUGUACUGGUUGUCUGCUGCUGCUCUUCAUCGUAUUCUGCAGGAAUUGCUUUUGUUUCUGCUUCUGGAGUAACAGCUUUAGUCAGGGGGUUGGUUUUGUUAAACCAGUCUGUUUAAGCCCAGUGUAAGUACCCUUGGUGACUGCUCAGUUCCAUGUGGAUAUUUGUUACUUGCCAGUCAUCACGGCUUGGCUCAGUACUGUGACAAUCUUUGACAUCCAUGGAUUUUAUCAAGAGUAAAACAUUACCUCCUGUCUGUUAGUGGAAAACCUGAAAAUUGUUAGGUCUGGUUUGAAGUGAUUUUCCUAGACUCUUGCUGGACCACUGCUGACAACUGGUUUCAGGGCAGCAAAAAAGUGGGGCUAACUUUUUUUUCUUCUUCUUCUUCUUUUUGAGAUUUUGUGCUCUGAUUUGAACCAUUCAGCAUCUAUGCUGUAGACAGAGUGCUAAGGCUCUAAGCGUGCUUUUGUGAGAUACCAAGCUUAUUUUUUUUUUGCAAAACUGAAGUAUGUUACAUCUUUGUAGUUGCUUUUGUGAAUCCACCUUUUGUUUAAGUUCUGUUAAAAAGCAAAAUCAACGUAGCUCCCUGACAAACACUGAUUAAUACAAAGUGUCUCUUAAGUCUAUAGUGAUCUGAUUCCAUAAUUCUCUUCUGUCAUGAAUCUCAGGUCAUAUAAUCAUGUAACCUUAGCAGCAUAAAUUACUACAAAUACACAUUUUUUUUUAGUCCUGAUAGACAUUAGAACUCUUCUAAGCUAGUAUAUUUCCCCAGUCUUCUAACAUUUCUUAGACAUUUAAAUCUAUAGGUAUGACGUCUCCCCAGUCAGCUAUUUUUAGCAGGUUUUGUGCCUGCUGAUUUUUAAAAUAUUUCCUCUGACUAAAUUUUGUUCAAUUUUGCCUUCCUUAGUAUUGGACUGAAAAAAGUUCAUUUCUUUGUGACGAGAGUACAUAAUUGUCCAUUUCUCCUGAAACAGAAGAUUUUGGAGACCUAUGCCUUUCAUGCAUUGUGAGCAGCUGUAUCAUCAUGUAGCAUGUGAUAAUGCAUCAUAGUUUAGAUUUCUUCUAGCUUUGAACAACUGCUGUGCCUUAUUUCCUUAGCUUUCCUUAGUCAGUGUUCUUCGCUCC
This is a long non-coding RNA of Falco peregrinus (peregrine falcon), 3195 nucleotides long. RefSeq lists it as uncharacterized. Lineage: Eukaryota; Metazoa; Chordata; Aves; Falconiformes; Falconidae. The transcript has 2 exons. The record is from RefSeq and is a predicted model, not a curated record.